AUGUUUUUGGUGCCCAGUUGCCCCCACCUGGCUGAAAGGAGAAAUGCAGGCAACCGAAAGAUCCCGGCUGAAAGGAAACCUAGGCGGAGCAGCUCCUCCUUAAUCUUUGGCAACCAGCAGUGGUUCCACAGAAGUGGCGUUCAGCCUCAGCCCCUUCAAAAUUGUGUAGAUGUGGACAAAUGCCUGAACUGAAGUAAAUGUCUUGGGCUGAGAGGAAUGAACAUUACCCAGAAAUGAGAAGAGGUUUCCUUCCUGUUGGGAAUGUGCAGGGACAGAUGCUAGAUGCUUAGGCAGUGUUAAUUCCACACCUCAUGGCUCCAGAGACCGUCGAGAAGCUGUCUCUUUCAGUCCAGUUAACAUAAACACUUGAGAAAGCCUAGGGAAGGAGAACUCAGUUCAAAGCUUGCCAAAGGAAAUGAAAAUACUCAGGAGCUGAUAUUGGCAGGCUGAAUAUUUUCUCAGUGAAAUUGGUGCAACACUGGCCUGACUUACCUGAAGGAGCAAAGUGAGUGGAUGAAGCAAUCCUAUGACACUAAUACUUCUCACGCACGCUCAGAUCCACGAGGGUAUUUAGAGGCUUAAUUUCUUUCAAUUUCAUUUAUGAAGGCAUCCAAGUAUCCUGCUACACAGAGCCUAUUUUGAAUCUUGCAUUGAAAGAAGCUUCUUUCCCACUUUUACCUUGCUGGUCUUUCCCAGCAGAUACAUCCUUCAGUGCCUAUAUGGGCAGAGAGGUGCCAGAGUGCUUUCCUGGGACACCAUUAAUGCUCAUACAGCUGCAACAAGCCACUUGUAGAAACCAAAUCCUUUGAGAUCUGCACAUAACUUGCAAGUGUCCAUGUGCUUCUCCUCCACUUGGUGUCUCUCUUUAGUCUCAAAUCUGGGGCUGGAUCUCCAGAAUUUCUCUCUUGGGGGAUGACUAUUUGUUAUUUGCAUUAUAGAAGUACCCCAAAGUUUUAGUUAAGCAGCACGACUCCCUAAUGGGCAGCAACACACAGAACCACAAAACAUGAUACUCUCUUCCCCUCUCUGUGUAGCUUUGCUGUUCUCUCCCCAUCCAUUUUAAAUGUUUAAGAUAUUAAGAUACUUACUUUGUGCUGUUUUCUCUUGAAAAUAACGAAUUUGUUGUCCAACUUAAUCCAGUUCACAUUACCCAUAAUUUGACUCACCCUCUCACCAGUGCUGGAGUUUGCAGGCACACAAGUGAAACACAAAGCAUUACUUCACCGAAUUCUAAAUUGCAUUUUUUUAAAGGGAUGAAUUCAAAAUAACGUCAAAUAAAAAUGCAGUCUUUGUUCUUGGUGCA
This 1303-nucleotide long non-coding RNA is filed under the name Phasianus colchicus (ring-necked pheasant). RNAcentral's name for it is "lncRNA (ENSPCLG00000005561.1)". The record is from RNAcentral. Lineage: Eukaryota; Metazoa; Chordata; Aves; Galliformes; Phasianidae.